UAGAGUUUGAUCCUGGCUCAGAGCGAACGCUGGCGGCAGGCUUAACACAUGCAAGUCGAGCGGACCUUUCGGGGUCAGCGGCGGACGGGUGAGUAACGCGUGGGAACGUGCCUUCUGGUCUGGAAUAACCCUGGGAAACUAGGGCUAAUACCGGAUACGCCCUUUUGGGGAAAGGUUUACUGCCGGAAGAUCGGCCCGCGUCUGAUUAGCUAGUUGGUGGGGUAACGGCCUACCAAGGCGACGAUCAGUAGCUGGUCUGAGAGGAUGAUCAGCCACACUGGGACUGAGACACGGCCCAGACUCCUACGGGAGGCAGCAGUGGGGAACAUUGGACGAUGGGCGCAAGCCUGAUCCAGCCAUGCCGCGUGAGUGAUGAAGGCCCUAGGGUUGUAAAGCUCUUUCACCGGUGAAGAUAAUGACGGUAACCGGAGAAGAAGCCCCGGCUAACUUCGUGCCAGCAGCCGCGGUAA
Molecule: ribosomal RNA, 470 nt
Filed under: uncultured Methylobacterium sp.
Lineage: Bacteria; Pseudomonadati; Pseudomonadota; Alphaproteobacteria; Hyphomicrobiales; Methylobacteriaceae
Description: bacterial SSU rRNA
Rfam family: Bacterial small subunit ribosomal RNA
Source: RNAcentral